GACGAACGCUGGCGGCGUGCCUAAUACAUGCAAGUCGAGCGGACUGAAUGGGAGCUUGCUCUUGUUCGGUCAGCGGCGGACGGGUGAGUAACACGUGGGCAACCUGCCCGCAAGACCGGGAUAACUCCGGGAAACCGGAGCUAAUACCGGAUAACACCGAAGACCGCAUGGUCUUUGGUUGAAAGGCGGCGCAAGCUGCCACUUGAGGAUGGGCCCGCGGCGCAUUAGCUAGUUGGUGAGGUAACGGCUCACCAAGGCGACGAUGCGUAGCCGGCCUGAGAGGGUGACCGGCCACACUGGGACUGAGACACGGCCCAGACUCCUACGGGAGGCAGCAGUAGGGAAUCUUCCGCAAUGGGCGAAAGCCUGACGGAGCGACGCCGCGGGAGCGAAGAAGGCCUUCGGGUCGUAAAGCUCUGUUGUGAGGGACGAAGGAGCGCCGUUUGAAGAAGGCGGCGCGGUGACGGUACCUCACGAGGAAGCCCCGGCUAACUACGUG
Molecule: ribosomal RNA, 499 nt
Filed under: uncultured bacterium
Lineage: Bacteria
Description: partial 16S ribosomal RNA
Rfam family: Bacterial small subunit ribosomal RNA
Source: RNAcentral